AAUCAACGCUGGCGGUGUGCCUCAGACAUGCAAGUCGAACGAUUAAAGCUCUCUUCGGAGAGUGUAUAGAGUGGCGCACGGGUGAGUAACACGUAAGUAAUCUACCCUCGAGUGGGGAAUAACAACCGGAAACGGUUGCUAAUACCGCAUAAUGCAGCGGCACCGCAAGGUGACAGUUGUUAAAGAUUUAUCGCUUGAGGAGGAGCUUGCGGCAGAUUAGCUAGUUGGUAGGGUAACGGCUUACCAAGGCUACGAUCUGUAACCGGUCUAAGAGGACGGUCGGUCACACUGACACUGAAUAACGGGUCAGACUCCUACGGGAGGCAGCAGUCGGGAAUUUGGGCAAUGGGCGAAAGCCUGACCCAGCAACGCCGCGUGAAGGAUGAAGUAUUCGGUAUGUAACUUCGAAAGAAUAGGAAGAAUUAAUGACGGUACUAUUAUAAGGUCCGGCUAACUACGUGCCAGCAGCCGCGGUAAU
Molecule: ribosomal RNA, 478 nt
Filed under: uncultured bacterium
Lineage: Bacteria
Description: bacterial SSU rRNA
Rfam family: Bacterial small subunit ribosomal RNA
Source: RNAcentral